This 74-nucleotide transfer RNA is filed under the name Methanobacteriota archaeon. Its description in RNAcentral is "Euryarchaeota archaeon tRNA-Met". It matches the Rfam family "tRNA". Rfam says of the family: Transfer RNA (tRNA) molecules are approximately 80 nucleotides in length. Their secondary structure includes four short double-helical elements and three loops (D, anti-codon, and T loops). Lineage: Archaea; Methanobacteriati; Methanobacteriota. The record is from RNAcentral.
GGGCCUAUAACUCAGAUGGUCAGAGUGGCGGGCUCAUAACCUGCAAGUCCUGGGUUCAAAUCCCAGUAGGCCCA